Molecule: ribosomal RNA, 253 nt
Filed under: uncultured bacterium
Lineage: Bacteria
Description: partial 16S ribosomal RNA
Rfam family: Bacterial small subunit ribosomal RNA
Source: RNAcentral
UACGGAGGUCCCAAGCGUUGUUCGGAUUCACUGGGCGUAAAGGGUGCGUAGGCGGUUGGAUAAGUCUGAUGUGAAAUCUUCGAGCUCAACUCGGAAACUGCAUCGGAAACUAUCUAGCUCGAGGAUUGGAGGGGAGACUGGAAUUCUCGGUGUAGCAGUGAAAUGCGUAGAUAUCGAGAGGAACACCAGUGGCGAAGGCGAGUCUCUGGACAAUUCCUGACGCUGAGGCACGAAAGCUAGGGGAGCAAACAGG